CGCAAGCUGCGCAGCGCCCGGCCUGUGGGCGUGUAUCCGCGGCCGUAGCAGCCGGGCUGGUCCUGCUGCGAGCCGGCGGCCUGGAGUGGGGCGGCGGAGCAAACAUGAAUGUUGGAGUUGCCCACAGUGAAGUGAAUCCAAAUACCCGUGUCAUGAACAGCCGGGGUAUGUGGCUGACAUAUGCAUUGGGAGUUGGCUUGCUUCAUAUUGUCUUACUCAGCAUUCCCUUCUUCAGUGUUCCUGUUGCUUGGACUUUAACAAAUAUUAUACAUAAUCUGGGGAUGUAUGUAUUUUUGCAUGCAGUGAAAGGAACACCUUUCGAAACUCCUGACCAGGGUAAAGCAAGGCUCCUAACUCAUUGGGAACAACUGGACUAUGGAGUACAGUUUACAUCUUCACGGAAGUUUUUCACAAUUUCUCCAAUAAUUCUAUAUUUUCUGGCAAGUUUCUAUACGAAGUAUGAUCCAACUCACUUCAUCCUAAACACAGCUUCUCUCCUGAGUGUGCUAAUUCCCAAAAUGCCACAGCUACAUGGUGUUCGGAUCUUUGGAAUUAAUAAGUAUUGAAAUGUUUUGAAACUGAACAAAAAUUUUUACAGCUGCUGAAUUUCUUAUAAGAAAGGAGUGUGAGAACAGAGAAGCCAGAUGAUUUAUUAGUUAUUGCUGGUAAAAAUAUAGAGAUCCUUUGAAACAUUUGUCUCUCCUAGAAUUCUCAUCAAACCAUAUGCUUCUAACACAUUACUUAACAGUCAUGGGGAGUAUGUGGGAACGACAAGAGACUCACCCUCUCCCUUCCCUGCCAAAACCACACAUAGACCCACACACUUGAAAAAUAAGGAAAUAAGAUCAUCUAGUAUGGAGAUUCCUCAAAAAUUAAAAUUAUAUCCAGCAGUUCCACUCCUGGGUAUAUACCAGAAGUGAAAGCAGGAACUUGGACAGAUAUUUGUACAUUUUUGUUCACAGCAGCAUUAUUCACAAUAGCCAGAAGAUGGAAGCAAUCCAAGUGUCCAUCAAGGGAUGAAUGGUUAAAAGAAAUGUGACAUAUACACACAAUGGAAUAUUAUCCAGCCUUAAAAAGGAAGAAAAUUCUGAUACAUAUUACAUCCUGGAUGAAUCUUGAAGACAUUAUGACGUGAAAUAAAUCACAAAAUGACACAUACUGUGUAAUCUCACUUUUAUGAAUUCCUAGAGUAAUCAAAUUCAAAGACAAAGUGGAAUGGUGGUUGCUAAGGGUUGGAAGGCAGAAGGAAUGGGAGCUUAUUGGUUUUUUGGUUUUCUUUUUUGCUUUUUGUUUUUUUUUUGAGAUGGAGUCUCCCUCUGUUGCCCAGGCUGGAGUGCAGUGGCACAAUCCCUGCUCACUGCAACCUCUGCUUCCCAGGUUCAAGUCAAUCUCAUGCCUCAGCCUCCCACGUAGCUGGGAUUACAGGCAUUCAUCACCACACCCAGGUAAUUUUUGUAUUUUUAGUAGAGACGGCCAUCAUGUUAGCCAGGCUGGUCUCGAACUCCUGACCCCAGGUAAUCCGCCCACCUCAGCCUCCCAAAGUGCUGGGGUUACAGGAGCAAGCCACUGUGCCCAGCUGGGAGCUUACUGUUUAAUGGGUACAGAAUUUCAGUUUGGGAAGAGGAAAAGGUUCUGGAGCUAGAUGGUAGUCAUGGUUGCAUAGCAAUGUGAAUGUACUUAGUUCCUUUGAACUUAAAACAUGGUUAAAAUGGUAAAUUUUGUUAUGUAAAUUCUACCGCAAUAAAGUUCAGAAAAGUUAAUUUGUAAAAUAAGCAUAAUGGCUCAGCAAACAAAACCCAAAAUAUCUUCCAAAGACCUGAUAGUAUUAUCACUAAUGAAAGAAUGUUCCACAUCAAGAGAUACUGGUCAGCAAAGAAAAUUUAACAGGAGAAAGGAUGGGCUGGCGCAGCGCAGUGGCUCAUGCCUGUAAUCCUGGCACUUUGGGAGGCCGAGGUGGGUGGAUCACGAGGUCAAGAGAUGGAGACCAUCCUGGCCAACAUGAUAAAACCCCAUCUCUACUAAAAAUACAAAAAUUAGCUGGGCAUGGUGGCGUGCGCCUGUAGUCUCAGCUACUCGGGAGGCUGAGGUAGGAGAAUCGCUUGAACCCGGGAGGCAGAGGUUGCAGUGAGCCGAGAUCACGCUAGUGCAAUCCAGCCUGGCAACAGAGCAAGACCUCGUCUCAAAAAAAAAGAAAGGAGAAAGGAAAAUGGCAAUGUAUUUUUAGCACUAGCCAACUCAAAGAAUGUAAGACACAUAUGUGACUCAAGUGGAAAGGGCUGCAUCAGGCUUGAAAUAUUAGCCAUUAAAAGCACCAAACUCAUGUCUAUUAAUAGUUUCCAUUCCAUAUUUACCAAGCAAUCUUCUGAUUAUAAUUUGGAUUUAGCCUUCAUUGUAAUUUGGUCAAUAGAAGGAAGAUAAUGACCGGCAAACUCAACUAUCCUCGCUCCCCCAUAAUUGCAUUUCUCAUAAACAAAUACAUUAGUAUUAAUGGCUUUUACACACCAUUUUAUUAGCAAUUUGUGGUGGGUAACUCAGUACUCCCGAGUCCAGUCACUUCCAGACCUGAUAAACCAAUUUUAAGCCUAUAAAAUAAUCAGAUAUUGAAACUCAAGUAAUCACACUAUGGGCCUGCCAGGCUGUGUAUACAUAUCUGUGGCAAGCCAACGUGGCUUUCCCCAAGUAAUACGCCUCUCUGAAUGCACUUUCCAUUCACAUUUCCAUAAUUCUGUAUUGCAUUUUGUCUUCUGCCUAUAGACUCAGAUCCUUGAGAACAGAGAAUGGACCUUAUCUGUAUCCUUAAUAACUAAUAAAGUUCCUAGCACAAAGGAAAUAACCCAAUAAAUAUGUAAUAAAUGAAAAUAAAACCUAACCUAGUAGAACAUAAUUAGGAAAUAAAUAUUGAAAAUUAAGAUUUGGGCCAGGCGCAGUGGCUCACGCCUGUAAUUCCAGCACUUUGGGAAGCCGAGGCAGCUGGAUCACAAGGUCAGGAGUUCAAAACCAGCCUAGCCAACAUAGUGAAAUGUCAUCCCUACUAAUAAUACAAAAAUUAGCUGGGCAUGGUGGGGGGCACCUGUAGUCCUAGCUACUCGGAAGGCUGAGGCAGGAGAAUCGCUUGAACCCAAGAGGUGGAGGUGGCAGUGAGCCGAGAUGGCACCACUGCACUCCAGCCUGGCGACAUAGUGAGACUCCAUCUAAAAAAAAAAGAAAAAUAAGAUUCUUCUAUGUAUUAAUAUAUAAUAUGUAUUAAUAAUACAAUUUUCCUCUGAAGGCUACAAAUGGAAAGUUAGACACGCAGUAUCUGAGACAAAAUAAGUAUAUCUAGAUUCAGCUGGAACUCUUGAUUUAUGUUGAGCUUACAUAGGCCGUAUUUGUUGAGAAUGCCCAUGAGUGGCAGCAUUCUAGCUGUAUCUGCAUAAAAGUAGACAGGACUCAGCAUACAUGCCUUUUCCCCAAUAACCCUCUCCUAUGUUACAAUAAGAACACAGAAAAUGUACACCUUUGCUAAAUACAUGUGACUUGUGUAAGUGUCACUUCACAUAUAUUCGGUCAAGGGAAAGAUAAAAUUCCUUACUAAUGUGCCCUAGAGUUCUCCUGUUUCACAUAAUACAGCAUUUGUACUCAACACUGGCCAAGAGUGCCUAGAUGAGGAAUCUACCAGUGAUAGCACACACAGGAUCUUGCUUGUCUUGACAGUACAGAAGAGCAUUGGGAUACACCUGCUGAACAUAAUUGGAAUUGUAAGAAAAAUAAUACCUGAUGUGAAAGGUUUUAUGUUCAAACUGGAUUCCAGUGUAUAACAGAAAUAACCUCUGACCCCUCUAACAGUAUGACUAAUUUUUCUUAACCUUUAGGUUUUAAUUUUUCUUUUUUUUCCUUUUUUAGGCCAACAGUGCACCCUAGAGAAAAUGUGAGUUAUUUUCUCUUCUAGCAGUUAAGAAAACAGACUCCAGUGCCAGAUGGCCUGACUUCUAAUCCUAGCUUUGCUUUUCCUAGUUGUGUGACCUCCAAAGCACCCAAACUCUGUGGCCCAGUUGCCUGUAAAAUGAGGACAGAAACUACUUCAUGGGAUUGUGAAAGAAAUUAAUCUACAACAGGUGCCUGGUACAUAGUGCCACUUUAUCAUUAUUGUUAUUGUUAUACAUAAAUGAAAUUUUUGAAAAACACAAAUUCCAACUAAAAAACCUCAACCAUA
RNA transcript from Rhinopithecus roxellana (golden snub-nosed monkey), 4192 nucleotides. It is a transcript of the gene named ORMDL sphingolipid biosynthesis regulator 1, with no coding region annotated. Lineage: Eukaryota; Metazoa; Chordata; Mammalia; Primates; Cercopithecidae. The transcript is spliced from 5 exons. The record is from RefSeq and is a predicted model, not a curated record.